RNAcentral lists this unclassified non-coding RNA (211 nucleotides) under Hevea brasiliensis (rubber tree). Lineage: Eukaryota; Viridiplantae; Streptophyta; Magnoliopsida; Malpighiales; Euphorbiaceae. The record is from RNAcentral.
UUCCAGCCCAACCAGUUCCAAGGACAACAACUUUCUUUUUUCUGUUGUUGGCCUCAACCAAUGCUCCAGCAUUUGAAUUGUCAUUCGAUUUUCCUGCCUCGGAGUAUGCCACAAGACCUCCACCACUGACAGUGAAAACAAUGAGGAGCUUAGAAAGGGAAGGAUUAUCACGGAAAGUUUUAGAAAAUCUCUCAAUCACCGUUACUCUCUG